Molecule: non-coding RNA, 560 nt
Organism: Meriones unguiculatus (Mongolian gerbil)
Lineage: Eukaryota; Metazoa; Chordata; Mammalia; Rodentia; Muridae
Source: the annotation of a RefSeq genome assembly
AGCAUCAGACAGCCUGGGCAACCAAGAUGGAGUCACACAUCCAGAUCUUCAUAUUCCUGCUCAUCUGCUUGUCUGGUACUGAGGGGAACAUUGUGAUGACCCAGACUCCUGAAUUCAUGUCCACAUCUGUUGGAGAGAGAAUUACCUUAAGCUGCAAGUCUAGUCAGAGUGUGAGUGGUUGGGUAGCUUGGUACCAGCAGAAACCAUGGCAGCCUCCUAAACUGCUAAUCUAUGGUGCAUCCAAUAGAUACACUGGGGUCCCUGAUCACUUCACAGGAAGUGGAUCUGGACAGAUUACACUCAGCAGUGUGCAGGCUGAAGACCUGGCAGUUUAUUACUGUCAGCAAUAUGACUAUACUCCUCCCACAGUGUUUCAGCGUUCAACACAAACCUCCUUGAGAGUCUCACCAGCUGCCUGUCCUGCACAGGCCGAUAAUCGUUGCUCCCAGGCUUUUGGACCGGCAGUAAUGGAGUAUUUCAAGCAGAUUGACACCUUUUUAAAACCCCUAGGUCAAGGAGUCGCUGAAUAUGAGGGCAAAUCCCAUCAUGAGCUUCCUUAG